UACGAAGGGGGCUAGCGUUGUUCGGAAUCACUGGGCGUAAAGGGCGCGUAGGCGGCCGAUCAAGUCGGGGGGGAAAGCCUGUGGCUUAACCACAGAAUGGCCUUCGAUACUGUUUGGCUUGAGACCGGAAGAGGUUAGUGGAACUGCGAGUGUAGAGGUGAAAUUCGUAGAUAUUCGCAAGAACACCAGUGGCGAAGGCGGCUGACUGGUCCGGUUCUGACGCUGAGGCGCGAAAGCGUGGGGAGCAAACAGG
This 253-nucleotide ribosomal RNA is filed under the name uncultured bacterium. RNAcentral describes it as "partial 16S ribosomal RNA". It matches the Rfam family "Bacterial small subunit ribosomal RNA", at positions 524 to 776 of the family's 1533-position model. The record is from RNAcentral.